GCUGGCGUAGCUCAACUGGCAGAGCAACGGUUUUGUAAACCGUAGGUUGUGAGUUCGACUCUCACCGCCAGCUC
RNAcentral lists this transfer RNA (74 nucleotides) under Paludisphaera borealis. RNAcentral describes it as "tRNA-Thr". It matches the Rfam family "tRNA". Rfam says of the family: Transfer RNA (tRNA) molecules are approximately 80 nucleotides in length. Their secondary structure includes four short double-helical elements and three loops (D, anti-codon, and T loops). The record is from RNAcentral. Lineage: Bacteria; Pseudomonadati; Planctomycetota; Planctomycetia; Isosphaerales; Isosphaeraceae.